UACGUAGGGAGCAAGCGUUGUCCGGAAUCAUUGGGCGUAAAGCGCGCGUAGGUGGCCUCAUAAGUCCGCUGUGAAAGUCAAAGGCUCAACCUUUGAAUGUCAGUGGAUACUGCCGGGCUAGAGUCCGGAAGAGGCGAGUGGAACUCCUGGUGUAGCGGUGGAAUGCGCAGAUAUCAGGAAGAACACCGACGGCGAAGGCAGCUCGCUGGGACGGUACUGACGCUGAGGCGCGAAAGCGUGGGGAGCGAACAGG
This 253-nucleotide ribosomal RNA is filed under the name uncultured bacterium. Its description in RNAcentral is "partial 16S ribosomal RNA". It matches the Rfam family "Bacterial small subunit ribosomal RNA", at positions 524 to 776 of the family's 1533-position model. The record is from RNAcentral.